UUUGUGUGCGUGAGCGAGCGAGCGAGCGUGCCUCCCGCAUGCGCGAGUGCCAGUUUUCCUCGUGCUCGGGGCUCGUGAUGUUGAGCGGCGUCUCGGGGCACUUCCACUCGGGCAGGGAGAGCAGCGCCACCGUGGGCGUCACGAACGCAAAGCAGAGUCCGUUUUGACGAAAGGCAAAGAUGAGCGAUGACCCCCCCGCCCAGCUCCGCCCACCCCGCACCUAAUGCCGAAGUUGACCUGGAGGAGAGUGCACAGGCCGGACACGAAGAAGAUGGUGUUGAUGAGUUGCCAGAACAUUGCUCCGUGGAAAGAAGCUCCCUUCACUCUGCUGUCUGCAUAUGGAACUGCCUCCCUGGACACAUUGUCGGCGAAAUGACCGAUUCUGUUCUCCAGGCCUUCAAAUGCCGAGCACGUGGACAUAUAACUCCACCACACGCAAUGUUUGGACUGAGUCUUUGAGCUGCAAUUAACCAAUUAUUAUGCCGAUAAGAUGUUACUCAUGUUGAAUAUGGCUAUUGUUUACAAUCGCACCCAAGGUAAAACAGGAUGCAUCCUUGCACCGGCAGAUUUCAUCGCGAGUGCCACAGCAGUGUUGUGUGUUGUUUUUGUUCGGCUCACCUGUAGGCCAAGUACAAUGCACAGGUACCACGGAGGGGUGUCGUAGACGCCGUACACCACGGCUCCUUUGUUCUUGGUCAACCCAUCCCCUCCGUCCGAGCAUUGGUCGCACGCGCCUGAUUCCAUCUCGUCGACGUGAUAAUCUUCCAUUGGUCUGGUGUUUGAAAUAUGCGUUGCUUUAACCAAUGAGUUGCAUCUGCGAAGGCCCAAUAAUUUGGGUAAUUUUUUAACAAAUGUUUGUUUAGUAAGUGUAGUGGAAUGUAGCUUUGUAAUAAAGUAUGCAACUUCUACAGAA
Molecule: non-coding RNA, 913 nt
Organism: Petromyzon marinus (sea lamprey)
Lineage: Eukaryota; Metazoa; Chordata; Hyperoartia; Petromyzontiformes; Petromyzontidae
Source: RefSeq, a predicted model, not a curated record